This 739-nucleotide ribosomal RNA is filed under the name Escherichia coli. RNAcentral's name for it is "bacterial SSU rRNA". It matches the Rfam family "Bacterial small subunit ribosomal RNA", at positions 78 to 834 of the family's 1533-position model. The record is from RNAcentral. Lineage: Bacteria; Pseudomonadati; Pseudomonadota; Gammaproteobacteria; Enterobacterales; Enterobacteriaceae.
GCUUGCUGCUUCGCUGACGAGUGGCGGACGGGUGAGUAAUGUCUGGGAAACUGCCUGAUGGAGGGGGAUAACUACUGGAAACGGUAGCUAAUACCGCAUAACGUCGCAAGACCAAAGAGGGGGACCUUCGGGCCUCUUGCCAUCGGAUGUGCCCAGAUGGGAUUAGCUUGUUGGUGGGGUAACGGCUCACCAAGGCGACGAUCCCUAGCUGGUCUGAGAGGAUGACCAGCCACACUGGAACUGAGACACGGUCCAGACUCCUACGGGAGGCAGCAGUGGGGAAUAUUGCACAAUGGGCGCAAGCCUGAUGCAGCCAUGCCGCGUGUAUGAAGAAGGCCUUCGGGUUGUAAAGUACUUUCAGCGGGGAGGAAGGGAGUAAAGUUAAUACCUUUGCUCAUUGACGUUACCCGCAGAAGAAGCACCGGCUAACUCCGUGCCAGCAGCCGCGGUAAUACGGAGGGUGCAAGCGUUAAUCGGAAUUACUGGGCGUAAAGCGCACGCAGGCGGUUUGUUAAGUCAGAUGUGAAUCCCCGGGCUCAACCUGGGAACUGCAUCUGAUACUGGCAAGCUUGAGUCUCGUAGAGGGCGGUAGAAUUCAGUGUAGCGGUGAAUGCGUAGAGAUCUGGAGGAUACGGUGGCGAUGCGCCCUGACGAGACUGACGCUCAGUGCGAGCGUGCGAGCAACAGAUAGAUACCUGUAGUCACGCGUAACGAUGUCGACUGAGUGUGUCCUGAGCGU